RNAcentral lists this long non-coding RNA (283 nucleotides) under Rhinolophus ferrumequinum (greater horseshoe bat). RNAcentral's name for it is "lncRNA (ENSRFEG00010014356.1)". The record is from RNAcentral. Lineage: Eukaryota; Metazoa; Chordata; Mammalia; Chiroptera; Rhinolophidae.
CAGCUCACGAUCUCAGGAUGUACAGAAAUAUAAUAAUUGGAUUACUAUUGUCAGGUUAUAUUUCUACAUCAUCUGCCGAUGACAGCGGUGCUGAGGAAAAUGUCGUCACUCCUAAAUCAACAAGUAAUGCACUAACAGAAACAAGUUUGCUUACCACGACGUGGACCUUAGCAUCCACUACUGCUGCUAUAACGUCACAAGCUAGAGAAACACCCACCCCAGGAAGGAAAACAGGUUUGUCCACAUUUUACAAUAGUUGCUCUGGAGUUAUUGUCAUGAUGCA